Molecule: ribosomal RNA, 383 nt
Filed under: uncultured eukaryote
Lineage: Eukaryota
Description: partial 18S ribosomal RNA
Rfam family: Eukaryotic small subunit ribosomal RNA
Source: RNAcentral
CAAUAGCGUAUAUUAUAGUUGUUGCAGUUAAAAAGCUCGUAGUUGGAUUUCUGGUGGGAGCGAUCGGUCUGGCGCUUAGCGCGAGUACUUGCAUCGUCUCCGGCCAUCCUUGGGGAGAGUCUGUCUGGCAUUAGGUUGUCGGGCAGAGGAUCCUCAUCGUUUACUGUGAAAAAAUUAGAGUGUUCAAAGCAGGCUUAUGCCGUUGAAUAUGUUAGCAUGGAAUAAUAAGAUAGGACUUUGGUACUAUUUUGUUGGUUUGCGCACCAAAGUAAUGAUUAAUAGGGACAGUUGGGGGUAUUCGUAUUCCGUUGUCAGAGGUGAAAUUCUUGGAUUUACGGAAGACGAACUACUGCGAAAGCAUUUACCAAGGAUGUUUUCAUUAA